This 264-nucleotide ribosomal RNA is filed under the name uncultured bacterium. RNAcentral's name for it is "partial 16S ribosomal RNA". It matches the Rfam family "Bacterial small subunit ribosomal RNA", at positions 524 to 782 of the family's 1533-position model. The record is from RNAcentral.
UACAGAGGUCUCAAGCGUUGUUCGGAUUCAUUGGGCGUAAAGGGUGCGUAGGUGGCGAGGCAAGUCUGAUGUGAAAAUCCCCGGGGCUCAACCCCGGAACUGCAUUGGAUACUGCCCCUGCUUGAGCACUGGAGAGGAGACUGGAAUUUACGGUGUAGCAGUGAAAUGCGUAGAUAUCGUAAGGAAGACCAGUGGCGAAAGGCGAGUCUCUGGACAGUUGCUGACACUGAGGCACGAAAGGCUAGGGGAGCAAACGGGAUAGAA